GGUGGCCUAGUGGUUAGAGCGUCACCCCUCGGAUGCGGGAGGCCAUGGGUUCGAACCCCUAACAGAGUCA
Molecule: non-coding RNA, 70 nt
Organism: Potamilus streckersoni
Lineage: Eukaryota; Metazoa; Mollusca; Bivalvia; Unionida; Unionidae
Source: the annotation of a GenBank genome assembly